RNAcentral lists this ribosomal RNA (269 nucleotides) under uncultured Planctomycetales bacterium. RNAcentral's name for it is "partial 16S ribosomal RNA". It matches the Rfam family "Bacterial small subunit ribosomal RNA", at positions 565 to 832 of the family's 1533-position model. Lineage: Bacteria; Pseudomonadati; Planctomycetota; Planctomycetia; Planctomycetales. The record is from RNAcentral.
GAGCACGUAGGUGGGUUUGUAAGUCAGAUGCGAAGGCCUUCUGUUCAACGGAAGGAUGGCAUCUGAAACUGCGAGUCUUGAGUGUAGGAGGGGAGAAUGGAACUUCUGGUGGAGCGGUGAAAUGCGUAGAUAUCAGAAGGAACGCCGGCGGCGAAAGCGAUUCUCUGGCCUAUUACUGACACUCAGUGUGCGAAAGCUGGGGGAGCAAACGGGAUUAGAUACCCCGGUAGUCCUAGCUGUAAGCGAUGGGCCCUAGGAAAAGGGGUUUU